CAGGAAUCCAUUUCCCUUGAAAGGACGUGUACGGAUACCUUGUGUCUCCUGGGAGCAUCUACUGCCAACAUCUCCUACAGAAAGCAGCAAGAAUAUCUCAACUGCUUCUGAAGAAAAAAUGGCAAACCGCAUUUUCCAGUGGAGAACAGCAACAUUUAUAGGAUAUUGAAGAUUUUCUACAGCAUGAAUUUCCAGGUUUAAAAAAAAAAAAAAACAGGAACAAAUGAACUCCCUAAGACUAUCAUUAGUGAUAAUGAAGUUUGCAUCCAGGCAAAACAAACACAGCCAUCUCCUCGAACAGAAAGAAUGGAAAGAACAAGCUAACAGUCUUGGCAACGUGGGAUCUACUGGGUCCAUACAGCCACAGUCAGCCAAUGGUAGAAACAGAGAGGCAGAAGCCUUUCAGAGCCCCUACACAAGGCAUAACAAGGAACUAGGAGGAUGAGAAAAGGUUUUCCUGGCGCUGUCUUUAGCCACAUGAACUGGAGAAAUCUCCCCUGGGAACCAUACUACAAAGAGAGUAAAGAGUCAUCUCUUUGCAAACACAUGGCAUGAAGAUGGAAGGAAUAAAGAUGACAACUGUUGCAUUGCUGGUCCCUCUACAACAAGAUGAAGAGACAUAAUAGCAGGGGCUGCUGAAAGCCAUGCAGUUGAAAAGCAGGGGUCUGAUGUGAAGUGGCAAUUGAAAGGGAAGAACUUAAAAAAUGAAUACACUGAAAUGGGAGUACUAGUUAGUGUAAAACACCAUGUGAGAUAUACCUAUACUCUAUAGUUUGUAUUUUGGUACAACAGGCAAUCCGUGUUUCAAAUCAUAAUACAAAUGGUCAAUAGUAUCAUGGUCAAGUGGCUAGUUUGACAGAACAUAUAUUUUGCUUGUAAUGGCUAAUUCACAGAGUAAGAUAUAUAUCUACAUAAAAAAAACACACACACACACAAACUUCACACCUAAAUAGGAAAAGAGAGAGAGUGAGAGAGAAAAAGAGAAAGGCCUUCCUCAACACUGUAACAGGGGCAAGGUAACUUAUUUCUUCUGCUGUUUGAGACUGUCAACAAGGAAAGAUUUUUAAGGGACCUUAUGGCCAUAAACAACAGAACUCCCUAAAUAAUUUUAGGCAGUACAUGUAGCAAAAGUAUUCAAACAGAAAAUUGAUUUUUUUCAGUUGAUAUUGUCUCUAAAUUCCUGCAGACUCUGUGAAUCCAGCACUGAUGAAAGGAAGAAACUGCAGCUAGGGAGUAGCACAAUAUGGGAGGACUAGAGCUGAUUACAUUGCAUUUCCUUCCCAAAAUGUAGUCCCACAAGUCCUUGGUGAAGACAGAGAUCAAUUUUUUUUAUUUAGUAAGUAUCUGGUGAAGCAAAUUAACUUUUCUGCAGUGUACAACUAUCUAUCUGUUAUGGAGUUAUAGUUUAUGGCAUUCUGCAGCUUGUAAAACUUUGAAAUUUAGAGAUGCACAUGACUGGAUAAGACCCUUAAAUAAUCAUUCUAUAUCUGAUAUCAUAAUUUACAUAACAGACUGGAAAGGAGAUACCAAGAAGCAAUUACUGCUUUCCUGUAUUUAGAAGUCAUAUAAAAAUCUAUACUGACAGAGGUUUCGCCAAAUGAGACAAGUGCUUGAAAAUGUUAACAUUUGACAUUUUAACCAAAAGUUCUGUUUUUUAUCUUGUCAAGUAGAUAAAGAUUUUCUGAUUAUUCUAAGUGGAAACUAUUACUAGUUACUAAGUUUAACAGGAUAUAACUAAGGCCCUGAUCCUGCAACAUUUACUUGCAUGAGUAACCCGUACAUGAGUAGUUCCAGUGAACCAAUGGAGCCACUCUUAUGAGUAAAGGGUUGUAUUACAUUUCACAUCACCACUGAGAAGUGAAAUUUUAUUACUGGGUAUUAAUAAAGCACUUUCAAAGUUUGCUAUGUAUGCACACACAAUCACACAGAACUGGAGUGCACUUUAACAAUUAGUUCUGCAGAAGGUACAGGAUACAGCUGUACUGCCCAGGAGGAGUCCAAUGAAGUAAUCUCCUGAGCUCUUGUUCAACAAGGUAACAGAGAAUACCAACCCCCUACAUGCCUGUGUCAACAGAAUUGUGCCAGAUGAUACAUGGGGAAGAAGAAGGUCCUGUCCGUUCCCCACCCACUACCCAACUGUACCAGGUGUCCUGUUCCUGUUUUCCUCCCGCACCUGUAAUAGAGCUGGAAGAAGGCCAGGCAAGUGCAUUGAGGGGGAGUGUGAAACUUCUCCCGACACCUCUAUGCAGCCAUAGAAGGUAGGACCACGAUCUAGACCACUCAUCUGGCUCAGAAAUAGCAUUUUGUAUUUAUAUUAAAAAUAUUGGUGUAUCAAAGUAUAAAGCUCCGCUUUAAUUUUUUAAUAAAUGUUAUAGAGUCAUGCAAACUGCUUCUGCAGAACUGUAAAAGAAAUUCCAAUAGGGAUUGGACAGCCAUGGAAUUUGGUUCUCUAACAUCCAAAUUCUAUCUAUAAAAACAGAUUAAGAGAGAAUUGCUACUAUAAUGUAAAACUACUAUACCUUGCA
This is a non-coding RNA of Caretta caretta (loggerhead turtle), 2525 nucleotides long. Lineage: Eukaryota; Metazoa; Chordata; Testudines; Cheloniidae. The record is from RefSeq and is a predicted model, not a curated record.